This 253-nucleotide ribosomal RNA is filed under the name uncultured bacterium. RNAcentral describes it as "partial 16S ribosomal RNA". It matches the Rfam family "Bacterial small subunit ribosomal RNA", at positions 524 to 776 of the family's 1533-position model. The record is from RNAcentral.
UACGUAGGGUGCGAGCGUUGUUCGGAAUCACUGGGCGUAAAGGGCGUGUAGGCGGGAAGAUCAGUCUGGGGUGAAAGCCCGGAGCUCAACUCCGGAAGUGCUCCAGAAACUGUCUUUCUUGAGAAAGUUAGGGGUCGGCGGAAUUCCUGGUGUAGCGGUGAAAUGCGUAGAUAUCAGGAGGAACACCGGUGGCGAAAGCGGCCGACUGGGACUUUUCUGACGCUGAGGCGCGAAAGCAUGGGGAGCAAACAGG